Penaeus monodon (black tiger shrimp) is the source of this 167-nucleotide small nuclear RNA. RefSeq annotates it as U1 spliceosomal RNA. The transcript has a single exon. Lineage: Eukaryota; Metazoa; Arthropoda; Malacostraca; Decapoda; Penaeidae. The record is from RefSeq and is a predicted model, not a curated record.
AUACUUACCUGGGGAAAAGGAGAUACCGUGAUCACGAAGGGGGUUCCCCCAAGGCGAGGCUUUACCCUUGCACUCCGGUUCGCUGAAACCCCUUGGGGGAUUAACCCAAAUUGGUUUGGGGCGCACUUUUUUUAAGGGGGGGGAACCCCCGUUCGCGCUAUCCCCCC